Molecule: long non-coding RNA, 782 nt
Filed under: Coturnix japonica (Japanese quail)
Lineage: Eukaryota; Metazoa; Chordata; Aves; Galliformes; Phasianidae
Description: lncRNA (ENSCJPG00005009842.1)
Source: RNAcentral
CUGUAACUGUUGAGUUUUGCUGGAUGUUGCAAAUCAUAAAAAACUUCAGUGAGAUUUUGGCUAAUAAUUUAUCGUCAUCCUCAGGGGUACUUAUGUUUUUUCUUCCCAUAAAUGAAUAAAAGCUCUUUUUUGUUGUUCCUUUCAUUUAAAAGGCGACAAAACUUGGGAAAUAAAGGAGACCUGAGUAUCUUUCUAAGCCAUUGACUUGCCCUGACCUCGAGUGCUGCAUUUGGACACUGCGUGCUUCUAUUAUUCCAGUGGUCAAAAGGGGACACAAAACAUGUAUGUGUCCUCUUGCCAUAUGUGGAUAGAAAGCAUUAGGAGAUGGGGAGGUGUAAGGAGAGUGAAUGGAGGUGCACGGGGAUGCUCAGAACCAGAUGAUCACCCUAAUGUUGGUGACGUGGAAGAUUUUGUGCAGCCUCACUCAGGUAUGGCUCCCUGCCCUGCUCAGGGUCAGAUGCCCCCAGAAUAUUUUGGUGUGGCAAACAUUCUUCCAAAUGAAAGGAAACCCCAAAUAAUAGGGGGGUUACCAUCAGGAUUAAAGGAGAUUAAAAUCUGCUUGAAGAGGCGUGUAUAGAUGAUCUUACUGGUAGUUACACAGGCCCUGUCAUCACAGCAGUUCAUUGCCAGCAAAGAAAAAGUGUAAAAUAAUUAGAUUUAAUACCAGAUACUUAUGUAAGGCAGGGCUGUAGUAACAAGCACUUCAUCCUCUCAUCUCAGUGGUAGAACUGUUCCAAGCUGGGUUAGAGAAUACAGAUUAAAACCAAGCCAGCAAGACAUUC